GUGCCCGAUACACCACGUCAUUAUUUCCUGUCCUUUUCCUCCUCGUGGGUACGUACACACAGCGACAGGGCCCCGCAGCUUCCACCUCUUCCUCACACCUGGCGAGUCUUACGGCUUCUCUGGUCACCGCCCAAGGGCCAAAACGCGAACCAAAAAAGCGUGUCGCUGACAGCACUUCGCCAUGCAACUCUUCUCUUUUUCCAAACAGAAAAAGAAUGCUGCCUCACCCAAGAAGGCGACGAGGGGGCUCCCGGGCCCAAAUAACUCCCACAAGAAUGCCUUUUUCCAGGACGACGAGACGGCAGACACGCUUAACCUGCACCAUUCUCCCAGUUCCCACUCGCGAAAUCGACAAGGCUGCGCGAACAACCGCACCAGCACAGGGGAUCGUGCGUCCCCGUUAUCGCUUCCAAGUCUUCAGUCGCCGUCCACAAAUAGCAGAUCGCAUGUCGACAGCGUCAGCAGUAGCUCUCAGCAGCAACAGGCGCAGCAGCAAGCCUCGGAAUGCGAGAAAGCGAGCGAGGUUUCGAUGCCACGACUUCAACGCGCCAGUGGUGCCUUAACGGGCACUCCAAACGCGCGGACCAGUAGCAGCACCGGCUUUCCGGUGCAUGGCGCAACCGCUGCAUUGCCAGCUCGAAGGUCUGCUGCAACCGAUCCACCGGCAUCGAAGUCCGCGACGAUAAACAGCACACCAGCUACUCCACGGCAGGAUCUUACCUCCCCGAUACGGCAACCUCCUGUGGCGCGGCUGUUGCCCUCCAAAGUCUGCACAGUGCGGAAGCCUUCCGUCCACUUCGUGUCGCCGCUGCCUGAGGAUUGUGGCAAGAAACCACCAAUAGGGUUCCCCGACAGAAUGGCAGUCCCCUCGCCGCCGAGUGUGACCGCCACCAGUGCUCAAAAGGGGCAGCCGCCUGCUUUGCCGAAGUCGCGCCAUGUCGCCCCAGCAGUCGUUCCGCCCGCUCCGCAGCGUCUGCCGCCGAGAACUAUCUCCCUCCCCGUCUUCACCGCUAUGGAGUCAGUGCCGAAGCAGCCCGGCUCCUCCUUUCGUGCUCUCAAGCGCCACAAAAAUUCAUACGAAGGGGCCAACAACCUCCCUGGCGGACCCAUCUCCACGAGAACGAACGGCAACUUGAGCAACGGCACCGUGGCAGCCCCCAUCGAGGGCAACGCAGCCGCAGGCCUGGGCAGGAGCAACAAUAGCGCCAGCGGGGUGACGCUCACCCCCUUCUGCAAGGAGCGCCAAUCGAACGGCUCAUGCACCGGAAGCAGCGCUCACGACACGGAGCGCGAGCCGGUCGCCAGGUUCGCCGACGGCGUCGACGGCAGCCAGCGGAACCCACAGAGCAACAUCCCUGCCAUCGCCCACGUUGUCCCCAUCCCACCCCCGAUGAACGUGGACAAGUUGGGUUCCUUCCGCGGAACUGUCGGCAGCUUGCUGAAGAGCACGCGUCGCACGAGUAGUAUGUACAGCAAUCACAGUACACAGAGCUCGAUUGAGGUGGUGGUCUCCGAGAAUCCCACCUCGGUGCGUCGAUCGCAGUGCACGAACGUCCGCUUGUCGACGCCGCGCACCAUGGUCAAGGUCGUCAGUAGCUGCAGUCUCAGCUUAGAUGACGUGCCGCGUCCGCUGAAUCGCCACGCAUCAACUCUGUCGACGGAGCAGCAGGAAGCGCUGCGCCGCACGCCGUCCUUCCUCACCCGCGCACACACGCCGCCGCCGUCGAACUUGAGGGAUUUGGUGCAGGUGCGCAAAGGCCGCCGCCUGCUGCAGGUGCGCUGCAAUACGCCGGACGUGCACUCUGCCGCGCCCGGGGUGCGUUCGGCAAGCGAGCAGUCGCUGAGCAGCAGCCCCAUGGUAAUGCUCAGUGGACUGCCUCCGUCUGGCAGUGACGAUGGAAAGUCAACUGCUCAUUCCUUGGCGAGAAGCACCGAACACGCCUCGCCGUUGCUUGGACAUGGCAAGAAGGGUGAUGCGAGUGGGCAGCCUUUGAAGGACCCAGUGGCAACCUGUUCUGGUGCCGUGUCCCCGAACGGCCCCUCAGACUCGGGCUCCCAUUGCAGCUUCCGCAACGGCGGGCGCACGGCGGAGUGGAGGGCCAACGAUGCGAGGUUGCUGUCGGAGGCAGGCGCGUCGUCGGAGGCGCCUAGACCGUCCAGUUGCGAGACGAUCAAGCCCCGACCGCGGGCGCCGCACAUUCCCUCACCUCCACCUCUCCACCACCACCACACUUCAGAGCCGGGGCUGGCGGAAGUCUCGCCGCCGCCGCUGUCCUCCUCUCCGGAUCCGGUCGCUACAUCCACCGCAGUGAGCCAGGACCUGCACAAGAACACGUCCUCCAGCAUGUCCCUUCUCCUUGACGAGGCAGCCGAGUUCGACUUUUACGGGUCGUGCGUGCUGUCCACGCUGCAGUUCAACACAAAGCCGCCGCAGCGCAUCACCGCCACCCCCACGCCCGCCGACGAGAGCGGCAGUGCCGCUUCCGUCGACGAGGUGGUACAAGGCCAGCAGCGAUCUUCACAGCAAGAGCAGAAGCCACAGAAGCCGGAGAUGUCGCGCAACGGCACUGCCGGCAGCGCCGCCGUCAAGGCGAAGGGGCAAAACGAUGUCAGCAUCAGCGUAUCGGAAUGUGUGAGGCUGAGCGUCACGGAUUUGCUCGGCGCAGCGUCUGGGAAAACUGCUGCCAAGGCUACUGACACGAGAACAGACGAUGAGGCCACGUCCGCCGAGACACCCAACCAGAGCAAGUCGUCAGCGAAACACGUACGCACGGUGCGGCCGGCAAGCCGCCAGCGCGUAGUCAGCGCGUACGUCGAUGACGACGAGGACGAGGAUGAGGACGGUUUUUACCAGGUGUCCCGCACCAUCCUGAAGCCCGCCAGCGCAUCUGCGAAGCAGCAGGGCACAUCCUACCGAGGACCCUCGCUUGUGCCCCCGUCACCGAGAGAAAACGGGCACCACUACUUGGCCGCGAUCCCCGGCUCCGCAAAGCCCUCCCAGCCCUUAAGAGAGACCCCACCGACGCCGGCGGCAGCGAAGCCAGCAGCGGUCGCGGCGCCUUUGCGCGCACAGCUCGACCUCUCUUGGAACGACGACAGUGAUGAUGAUAACGAGGAGGAGUACGACAACCUGCUAGAGGGCUUCCACCCCGCCGGCUUCGACGCCCGUCGCGGGGCCCGCAGCAGCAACUCCAUAGUGUUCUACCUCGACAAGGAAGACAGUGUGAGCAGCACGGACGUUGUUGUGAGGGCAGCCAGCAUCCCGCGCGGCAGCUGGGCGAUUCCGUUCUCGCUCGCUGACACGAAAUUACUGCCGCUAGACCAGAAGCCGCAGUCCGAGUACUCGAUGCUGAAGCUCUCUACCACGGUGAAGACCGGCGGCGGUGGCGCGCGACCGCACAUUACCUUUGACCCUUACAUCGCAGAGAACACGCACCCGGCCGCCCAGCUCACGUCGUCCGAGCCGAGCAGCACCCUUCCCGACUCGCACGUGAAUAAGAGUCUCAGCUUGCACGGUAAUCUAGACCAGUACGACUUUGUCAUAGACUCCAGUUAUUCCUCGCUGCUGUUGAACGCGAACGUGCGAGGCUCAAGAACGGCGCUGAGCCGGAACUCGGCGUCCGGGGUGCAGAGUAAGGCCUCCACCCCCUCCGCCCCCGUUAGCAUCUUCCUUGGGACAACCCUUCGCUUCGCUCCGGAUAAGAGCAAGAUGCACCGGCCACUGGCAAACACGUUUGGGUACACAAACGCGCAGCGUCGUGCCCGCGCAGCCGCGAUGGCGGCAGGUGUGAGCGCGGAGGAGUGGGCACGGGCUGCCGGCAUCGACGAGGACGACGUGGACAGUGAGGACGGCGUCUACGGAGAGGUGUACACGGAUGAGAAUGGCGACGAGUGGUACUGGGAAGAGGUGGAGGACGAGGAGUGUGAGGAGGACGAAGACGAAGACGAGGGAAACGCCAGGGACUCGGCGUGCGCUCUCGAGAAGGGCGGCGCGGGAGUCCGUCGCAGUCCAGCACCCACCUCAUCCGUCAGCGGCGUCACCGCCACCGCGACACGCUAGCCCCUACUGACAUCAUGCCCCAGUAGUGGGGUUGGUGCGUGUUCUUGUUUUCUAUUAUUUUUUCUUCUGUGGCGUAUGCAUGACGUGCGGCGUCGUUGGCAAGACGCGAGGCCCGUGGCGUAUUUAUUUCUCUCGCUCUGCCAUGUGCCCCUCCACCUCAUUCCAGUUCCAAGACAGUUUUUUCCCCGCUCGUGCGUUUUCGUUUCCAUUGCAUUUUCGCCAUCCCUUUUUUCGCGCCUCCUCUUUUGUACUUCACCGAAUGUACGCGAGCUCUCCAG
This 4338-nucleotide unclassified non-coding RNA is filed under the name Leishmania donovani. RNAcentral describes it as "gene:LdHU3.31.2070(CDS-product:hypothetical_prote in_conserved)". The record is from RNAcentral. Lineage: Eukaryota; Euglenozoa; Kinetoplastea; Trypanosomatida; Trypanosomatidae.